This 68-nucleotide transfer RNA is filed under the name Solen grandis (grand razor shell). Its description in RNAcentral is "tRNA-Ala". The record is from RNAcentral. Lineage: Eukaryota; Metazoa; Mollusca; Bivalvia; Adapedonta; Solenidae.
GGUGUGAUACUUUAAGUAAAAGGUUAGAUUUGCAUUCUUAAAUUGGGUAGAGUUUUGCUCUCACGCCG